This 253-nucleotide ribosomal RNA is filed under the name uncultured bacterium. RNAcentral describes it as "partial 16S ribosomal RNA". It matches the Rfam family "Bacterial small subunit ribosomal RNA", at positions 524 to 776 of the family's 1533-position model. The record is from RNAcentral.
UACGUAGGGUCCGAGCGUUGUCCGGAAUUAUUGGGCGUAAAGGGCUCGUAGGCGGUUUGUUGCGUCGGGAGUGAAAACCAGGUGCUUAACACCUGGCCUGCUUUCGAUACGGGCAGACUAGAGGCAUUCAGGGGAGAACGGAAUUCCUGGUGUAGCGGUGAAAUGCGUAGAUAUCAAGAGGAACACCUGCGGCGAAGGCGGGUUGCUGGGCCGACACUGACGCUGAGGCGCGAAAGCCAGGGGAGCGAACGGG